RNAcentral lists this long non-coding RNA (529 nucleotides) under Vombatus ursinus (common wombat). RNAcentral's name for it is "lncRNA (ENSVURG00010014337.1)". Lineage: Eukaryota; Metazoa; Chordata; Mammalia; Diprotodontia; Vombatidae. The record is from RNAcentral.
CCUGCCCGCGGGCGAGCCGGCGCUUCAGCUUGUCGGCCCCGAGCCUGCGCAGUGGCAUGUGAAAGAACAUUGGCUUGUUCCACCUAUCACCUUAUCUUCUGAAGACCACGUAUUUGAAAAGUUAGAAGCAAUUAUUGAUGAGGAGAAUGACAUGCUUGAUCUGGCCUGUGGACUAACCAUCAUGUAAGAUUUUAGGACUAUUAGAGGUCUGAAUAAAAGUUUUUCAGAGCAUCUACUGCAGCUGUGGACAAGUAACCAUGUGUGUUCGUGCCAACUGGCACGUUCUUGGAGCAGUCUUGUGCUGAAACCUUACUGCAGGAUGCCACCGGAAUGCUCAAUGGCUUGGAUUUAGAACGUUGCUUCAGUUGAAUUUCUUCAUUUUUAGGCUGGUCCAAGUCAAAAUCACUCAGAGUUAAACAUGCCUUCUGAUUCAGGGGAUAAGAGAGGGGUUGGAUUACUCAGAGCAAUGGUCAGACAAAGUCAUCGGAAAGAAUUUGGAAAAAAGAAGGCUUCCAAAGAGCCACUGUGA